Molecule: small RNA, 856 nt
Filed under: Vigna angularis var. angularis
Lineage: Eukaryota; Viridiplantae; Streptophyta; Magnoliopsida; Fabales; Fabaceae
Description: Non-protein coding transcript
Source: RNAcentral
UUCCAUUACACGAUUGAGAGAUAUGUCAAAAGAGGAUCGAAGAAUUAGAAGUCUGAGAUGAUUAAACCAAAAUCAUGGCUGCAAUUAUCACAAAACUACAAAGCAACAGAGGACAUUAAAAAGAAAUUACAACAAAACCAAGCUAAAACAUCUUGUAACAGUGAAAAUGAACAACUCUUUGCCACUAAAAGACACAAACAUUCAUUUGUUCAGUUCUUCCAUAUCAAGCAAUCUUCACUUCAAUAGUCCUAGGCUUCUUGGGUUCAGGAGGAGGCAAUUUCUGCACAGUAACACUGAGAACACCAUCUUGACACACAGCAGAGAUUGCAUCAAUGUUUGCAUUUUCAGGUAAAACAAACUUGCGCAUGAAUUUCCCAACUCUUCGUUCCAUUUUCAGAAACUUCACCCCUUCUUUCUCUUCUUCCCUCUUUCUCUCCCCACUAAUCAAAAGCACGUUAUCAUCUUCAACCUGAACCUUUAUGUCACCAGAUUUCAACCCCGGCAUGUCGAUCAGUAACACGUAGGAAUUCGGAUAUUCUUUCACAUCCGCAGCUGUUGCAGCCAUCGCUUUCGCGUCUCUCACGUAUGUCUGUGUCGGAGCAUUGUUUGUCUUCUCCCCUGCACCCUCCUCCGACAUGUCCAUCAUGCGGUGCAGCGUGUGGAACAAUGGAGAUUCCAAACCCAUCACUCUGAAAUCCAUCACUUUUCAGAUACGAGGAAAGCUGUUUAGAAAGCCAAGAUUUUUGUUUGAGAAUUGUUUUGUGGAUAUUUCUUCGUUGGGAAGAACGUAUGUGGCUAUUUAAAGGGGAAUGUACCUUGUUCCAGAUAGAAAUGGAAGUUUCUGAUGUAAGCCAAU